RNAcentral lists this ribosomal RNA (439 nucleotides) under uncultured bacterium. RNAcentral describes it as "partial 16S ribosomal RNA". It matches the Rfam family "Bacterial small subunit ribosomal RNA", at positions 339 to 795 of the family's 1533-position model. The record is from RNAcentral.
CUACGGGAGGCUCCAGUGGGGAAUAUUGGACAAUGGGCGCAAGCCUGAUCCAGCAAUGCCGCGUGAGUGAAGACGGCCUUAGGGUUGUAAAACUCUUUCGCUAGGGAAGAUAAUGACUGUACCUAGUAAAGAAGUCCCGGCUAACUCCGUGCCAGCAGCCGCGGUAAUACGGAGGGGACUAGCGUUGUUCGGAAUUACUGGGCGUAAAGAGUUCGUAGGCGGACUGACAAGUUAGAGGUGAAAUCCCAGGGCUCAACCCUGGAACUGCCUUUAAAACUGUCAGUCUAGAGACCGGAAGAGGUUAGGGGGAUACCUAGUGUAGAGGUGAAAUUCGUAGAUAUUAGGUGGAACACCAGUGGCGAAAGCGCCUAACUGGUCCGGUACUGACGCUGAGGAACGAAAGCGUGGGGAGCAAACAGGAUUAGAUACCCUAGUAGUC